CGUGUAGGUGGUACUGUAAGUAGGGCGUGAAAGCUCCUGGCUCAACUGGGAGAGGCCGUUCUAAACUGCAGCACUCGAGUUUGAUAGAGGAAGAUGGAAUUCCAGGUGUAGCGGUAAAAUGCGCAGAUAUCUGGAGGAACACCAGUGGCGAAAGCGGUCUUCUGGAUCAAUACUGACACUCAGACGCGAAAGCUAGGGUAGCAAACG
Molecule: ribosomal RNA, 207 nt
Filed under: uncultured bacterium
Lineage: Bacteria
Description: partial 16S ribosomal RNA
Rfam family: Bacterial small subunit ribosomal RNA
Source: RNAcentral